Long non-coding RNA from Varroa destructor (honeybee mite), 547 nucleotides. RefSeq lists it as uncharacterized. The record is from RefSeq and is a predicted model, not a curated record. NCBI's taxonomy places the organism in Eukaryota, Metazoa, Arthropoda, Arachnida, Mesostigmata, Varroidae.
GCGAGAUGAGGCCGGCGGCGAUUGUGGGAGGGUCCGCGGCCGCUACGCAGAACGAACAGACCUCAGUCAGGGACAAGCUAAAGUGGUCGUGGAUGCGACGACUAUUCAUGACGACCCAUUGAUAGAGGUCAGACCGACAAAAUCUAAAGAAUUGUUAGUGUCUAAGGAUUCUCGAGUCAGAUGGCGAAUAGGCCAUUGCAUCCGCGAACGACGGCACUGCUUCUGUUCAUAGCAGUGGCCACAUGGACAGGCUUGUUGGCGGCUCCCGCAAUAAAUUCAACGAACAGCGCUCUAACAAAAAUUAUUGCUUCUCGUCAGAUUUUCACAUCAACCACACCCGUUUCAUACUUUAAUUACGUCGCCGUUUUGAAAAAUCGCGCCACUUACUAUGACUGAAGAUGAGAAUAGUUCUGUGUUUCCGUACUUCAUAAUUGCCGAUUACCGUGGUGACGAGUCGACCAGAUGUUAAUUCAUCCCGGCCCGAAAGAGGUCUGGCGCUGGAAUUGCAAGCGCACCGUUUCCCAGGGGACCUAUUCACAUGUAAUAC